GGUGAGAAGGGUUCGGGUCUGUCUCCCUGUCUCCUGAGGCUCUGCGGGAGGCAGCCGGGCGGUAUGGACGGUCUCAUCUGCUCUAGGAAAGGUACAGGACUGUCAUGUGAUGCAUCUCCUGCACUGAUCAAAAACAAGUGAGG
This is a long non-coding RNA of Chrysemys picta bellii (western painted turtle), 143 nucleotides long. RefSeq lists it as uncharacterized. NCBI's taxonomy places the organism in Eukaryota, Metazoa, Chordata, Testudines, Emydidae. The record is from RefSeq and is a predicted model, not a curated record.